UCGGGUGACCAGCGGCGGACGGGUGAGUAAUGUCUGGGAAACUGCCUGAUGGAGGGGGAUAACUACUGGAAACGGUAGCUAAUUCCGCAUAAAGUCGCAAGACCAAAGUGGGGGACCUUCGGGCCUCAUGCCAUCAGAUGUGCCCAGAUGGGAUUAGCUAGUAGGUGGGGUAACGGCUCACCUAGGCGACGAUCCCUAGCUGGUUUGAGAGGAUGACCAGCCACACUGGAAAUGAGACACGGUCCAGACUCCUACGGGAGGCAGCAGUGGGGAAUAUUGCACAAUGGGGGAAACCCUGAUGCAGCCAUGCCGCGUGUGUGAAGAAGGCCUUCGGGUUGUAAAGCACUUUCAGCGAGGAGGAAAGGGGUGAUGCUAAUACCAUCAUUUUGUGACGUUACUAGCAGAAGAAGCACCGGCUAACUCCGUG
This 427-nucleotide ribosomal RNA is filed under the name uncultured bacterium. RNAcentral's name for it is "bacterial SSU rRNA". It matches the Rfam family "Bacterial small subunit ribosomal RNA", at positions 84 to 507 of the family's 1533-position model. The record is from RNAcentral.